RNAcentral lists this ribosomal RNA (207 nucleotides) under uncultured bacterium. RNAcentral's name for it is "partial 16S ribosomal RNA". It matches the Rfam family "Bacterial small subunit ribosomal RNA", at positions 568 to 774 of the family's 1533-position model. The record is from RNAcentral.
CACGUAGGUGGCGACGUAAGUCGGGUGUGAAAGCCCCGGGCUCAACCUGGGAAUUGCAUUCGAGACUGCAUUGUUGGAGUACGGAAGAGGAAGGCGGAAUUCCCGGUGUAGCGGUGAAAUGCGUAGAUAUCGGGAGGAACAUCAGUGGCGAAGGCGGCCUUCUGGUCCAGUACUGACACUCAAGUGCGAAAGCGUGGGGAGCAAACA